AUUGAACGCUGGCGGCAGGCUUAACACAUGCAAGUCGAGCGGGGGAAGGUAGCUUGCUACCGGACCUAGCGGCGGACGGGUGAGUAAUGCUUAGGAAUCUGCCUAUUAGUGGGGGACAACAUUCCGAAAGGAAUGCUAAUACCGCAUACGUCCUACGGGAGAAAGCAGGGGAUCUUCGGACCUUGCGCUAAUAGAUGAGCCUAAGUCGGAUUAGCUAGUUGGUGGGGUAAAGGCCUACCAAGGCGACGAUCUGUAGCGGGUCUGAGAGGAUGAUCCGCCACACUGGGACUGAGACACGGCCCAGACUCCUACGGGAGGCAGCAGUGGGGAAUAUUGGACUAUGGGGGGAACCCUGAUCCAGCCAUGCCGCGUGUGUGAAGAAGGCCUUAUGGUUGUAAAGCACUUUAAGCGAGGAGGAGGCUACUGAGACUAAUACUCUUGGAUAGUGGACGUUACUCGCAGAAUAAGCACCGGCUAACUCUGUGCCAGCCGCCGCUGUAA
RNAcentral lists this ribosomal RNA (501 nucleotides) under uncultured bacterium. Its description in RNAcentral is "partial 16S ribosomal RNA". It matches the Rfam family "Bacterial small subunit ribosomal RNA", at positions 30 to 523 of the family's 1533-position model. The record is from RNAcentral.